AAGUGCAGUAACUGCAGUCUACUGUGGUAUUUUGGAUGCAGUAAUUGCAGAAUAAUUGCAGUAUAACUGCAGCUAUACUGCAAAAUUACUGCAGUAAAAAAAAUACUGUUAUUUUGGAUGCAGUAUUUGCAGCAUACUGCAGAUAUACUGCAAUCCAACUACAGAUAUACUACAGUGUACUGCAGUAAUCCUGCACUCUGACUGCAAUAUUUUUUCGUAAGGGUCAGAAUGAUCUAAAAUGAUAAAUCCCAUAUUGAUCUUUCAUUCAGGCCAAUGUUGUGCUGUGUAGUAGGCUAAUAGUAGGCCUACUAUUAAAACAAAUAAACUGUGUCAAAAAUUCACAGGUUUCGGAUUUUCACAGGUUUUCGAUUAUUUUCAGAAAAACAACAACAUUGUAUGUUCUAAGUCCAUAACAAUGCUUAAACCACAUCAUGAGACCACUUUUGAGGUCUGGGGAAAAUCUAAGACAUUUAAUUCAGGCACCUAGCACCAUUGUUUGAUUGGCAGUGUUUCUGUAGCACAUGAGAUGGAGUUUGCAAAAGAAAUGGCCACUGGAUUGAUGGAAAUAAUCAUCAUGAUAUCAUUCUGAUAGUUUCCAGAGCACAUCAGAACAUGGCCUCUCCUGGACAGUGGUCAGCCCUAUUGUGUUCACCUACAGAGUGAUCCAAUGCCACAACCUGCUGGAUGUUGGGAAUGACACACUGCUAUGUGGUCAUAUAGAGGACCAGGAUGAGCUCAAGGCCUUCAGAAGCAACACCAAGCCCAUCAAACGCUUCAUUAUCAUUGAUGAGACAGUCAAUCAGCUCUAUGGCUCCCAGGUCACCAGGUAUUUUGAGGCCAGAAAUGUUCUCUAUAGGAUCCUCCCACUGCCCA
RNAcentral lists this long non-coding RNA (873 nucleotides) under Salmo trutta (river trout). RNAcentral's name for it is "lncRNA (ENSSTUG00000038002.1)". Lineage: Eukaryota; Metazoa; Chordata; Actinopteri; Salmoniformes; Salmonidae. The record is from RNAcentral.